AAUAUUCACAAUGGAUAGUUGCAAAUUAGAGAAGCCUUCUAGAAGUCAUGGCCGAAUUUCCUUCAGCCAAGCCGCCUCUUGGAGUUUUCUUUGCAGCGAUAGCCCCUCGCUUGCAGCCAAGAUAUUAUUCGAUCUCUUCCUCUCCAAAGUGAGCAAUAUUUCAAAUUUGACCGAUCAAAUUUCCAGUUAUUAUUCAUUAUUGUUAUCAUUGUCAUUUUUCUAGUGAAUGGUUGUUGUUAGAUUUUGUUUUAUUAAUCAUGGAAACCAUUGUAAAUCAGAGUAAUACCGAGCUCUUUGAUUUCAUAAAGUGUUGAUUUCAUUUUUGCUUUUAAUUCUUUCUGCAACCAUGAUCAAUUAGGACAAUCCCAAGUUCAUCAAUUUCUUUUUUUUUCUUCUCUUAAUUUUUAUUUUUAUUUUUCAAUUUUAACCAUCUGAUACUUGUCCACCAAUUGGCUAGUUUGGUAAUCAAUUCAAGGUAAUUUUUGGAUUAUGAUGCAUCUAAGUUGGUGCUGACAGAUUAAUUUGAGUUACUUGUAUGCCACAUAUAUCAACCAUCACAUCUUGCCAAAGUUGUUAUGCCUGAAAGCUACCUCUGCAGAAAUACUUUACAGCGACAUGAAUAUAGAACGGAUCCUUAUCCAUUUGUCUUAACAAUAGUAAGAUUGAGGAAAGUGAACUCUCUGAUGCAAGCUCAACAAAUUUGAAAGAAGAUGGAUCUUCACCGUCCCUAACUCUAAUCAGAAAGCAAGGAUCGUAUUCAGAUAAACUUUCAUAUCUAAAAGGAAAAGUGCCUUCCUCGAUAAGAAUUCUAACAUCAGUUGCCCUGCCCUUUGGAGUUUUUGAGAAGGUUUUGUUAGAUGAUUCAAACCAGAAAUGGCAUAGGUGAUAAUCAAGCAAAUGCUAGAUGUGUAUGCCUAGAUGAGGGCUUCACUUGGUGAGGCAUGCAUUUCAUGACAAAGAGGCAUGCAUAACAAGUGAUUUCUUGUUUAGAAGCCUGAAAUAUAACUUCAUUCGAUCACAAUGCAUCAUUAACAUGAGAGAUGCAUCGGAGUAGACUUCCUUUUUCUCUAUCCAGGGUCCAUGUACACUGGAGUAGACUUAUACAAGAAGUGUGGAGUGUCCAUUAUUCAAAGGUGAGCUUUUAUGCAAGUAUUGAAUUUGGAUUUUCCUCAUAAAAAACUAAGCGAGUAUUUUGAGAUAAAUAUGAGAUUUUCACUACCUAUUCUAAUAAUAAAUGCGGAUCCUCUAGCACUAAAACUGUUGGAAAGACUUUUGGCAUUUGUACAAAAGUCCCUUCUGCACAGGUAUGUAUUUGCUAUUGUGUUUCCAAUUGUCUAUAAAGAAUGGAAAUGCUUCCU
RNA transcript from Magnolia sinica, 1358 nucleotides. It is a transcript of the gene named alpha-glucan water dikinase, chloroplastic-like, with no coding region annotated. The transcript is spliced from 5 exons. The record is from RefSeq and is a predicted model, not a curated record. Lineage: Eukaryota; Viridiplantae; Streptophyta; Magnoliopsida; Magnoliales; Magnoliaceae.